GGCGGAGCUCGAGCUACGCCACGUAGGAGCUGAGAAGUAGCUAGGAUAGCCUUAUGGGAAUAGCCGUACACUUCCCCAUUUUUGCUUGUAUAUAGCGUUCUAAUCAUAGUUUUAGAAGCUUUUUUUAAUAGAUAAUGAUGUUGUCUGUUUCAGAACUAUUGGUAGAGCGCUAUUGCGUGGCGGAAGACACCACAAUGAGUGAUUGAACCUCGUUCUUCCUACUACUGGACGUCGCCAUCUUGAGUAGAACUGAACCAUGGGGGCCGCCAUUUUGCUGGACCGGGCGGGUAUUUCCGGUUCCGGCGGGGGAAAGCGCUCUCUUUUCCUUUGCAGGGCUGCGGCUCGGUGGCCGCGGUGCUUGUCUCUCUGAGCUGUUCGGUGCCAUCCUCGUUGCUGCGGCGACAUCUCCACCCGCCGCUGCCAUGACUGAACAGAUGACCCUUCUUGGUACCCUCAAGGGCCACAACGGAUGGGUAACCCAGAUCGCUACUACUCCGCAGUUCCCGGACAUGAUACUGUCCGCCUCUCGAGAGGGGCUAUACACCACUUUUACUUGCCAUAGAGCAAAACAGACAGCAGAUGGUUGAAACAUUAAUUCAGAACAAAGCAAAUAUACAUGCAGUUGACCAGAAGGGAAGAACAGCCCUCAUGUUUGCUUUGGAACAAAAAUCAAAACACAUAGUUGAGAUGCUUCUUCAGAGUGGUAUUGAUGUCUCUGCUGCAGAUAACUUUGGGCAGAUGGCAUUAGCUUAUGCUAUUGCUAGUGGUGAUACUAGCCUCAAGAAAUUAAUUCUUCAAUAUAUGAAAGUAGAAUCUAAACAUCCUGAAAACAUCAACCCAGGCAAGGGAGAGACCUAGUGCCGCAGUCCAGCUGGGCAAAGUAACCAAGAGGUGACAAGCAACUGAAGGUUGAAGCAGUAACUGAAGGUAACUGCUUUAUUGCGGAACAGCAGAGGUGUAUAUAUCUAACUGAUUUACAUAAAGCAUGACUCAAUCAGCAUCAUCCAAUCAUAGCAUUGCUCCUCUACAGAUACAGCAAUCAGCCAAUAAGGAGUCCCCACCAUCUUGAUGAGUCGGCGGCAUUGCCUCACAAGCCACUCUUCCUGGCAAACUGCCAGGCACCAUCUUGACUUGGUCGCAGCCUCCAACAGACUAGGCUGAGGUGCUGCUUGGUGCAGACUUCAUACCUGCACAACUCUGUAAACAGGGUUGUUUCACCUCUCUCUGCUCAUGCUAUGAGGGUGGCUGCCAGACACUGGAUUAUAGUACAUUCGAUCCAUACCAACAUGGGUACAUGUCAGCUGGGGACUUUUAUUUACCCUGUUAUUUUACUUGAAGUACCUGCCAAGUUAUAAGUGGGAAUGUAUGUCUUUGGUGGAAAGUAAGAUGCAUUGUUUCUUACCUUUGCUGUGGGUUUUUAGAAGUUGCAAAGUACCUGCCAAUGUGUUCAAGGAAUGGGGCUGGAUCCCCAUUGCAGAUGGAAGAAGACAAACAACAAUAAUACAGCAUGAAGGCAAACUAGAUAUAGGUAUACAGAAACAAUCAACAAGAAAAAAAAGAAAACACCAGUAACAACAGAGAAGAAAGGGAUAAAAUAUUUAGGAUCCACUAAAUUGUUAAAGGUUCAUAAAAGUAAAAUUAAUUUUAAAAAAAGGAAGAAUGAGAAAUUGGAAGAAACUUUUAAAAAUUCUAUUAAAUUAUGACAAUAAGAUAAAAGUAAUGAAACAAAAUGACUAAGAAAGAAACACAAAGCAAAAUCUAGUCAAGAAUUUGUUCUACAUGAGUUGUAUGUGCACACACUGUCCUAGUCUGUGCCCAGGGCAAUGGUCAAUGCCUGCAUAGCAGCAAGCCCUUCAUACCUGCAGAGCUUUGGCAUUAAGAGGUUUGUGUCAGAAAGUCAUAUAUUCUGCCUGUAGAACUAUAGUCUGUGUGGGCUGGGAAUGUGGCUCAAGCGGUAGCGUGCUGGCCUGGCAAGCGUAUGGCCCGGGUUCGAUCCUCAGCACCACAUACAAACAAAGAUGUUGUGUCCGCCAAAAUCUAAAAAAAAAAAAAAAAAAUUAAAAUUCACUCUCUCUCUCUCUCUCUCUCUCUCUCUCUCUCUCUCUCUCUCUCUCUCUCAAAACAAACAAAAAAAAGAACUAUUGUCUCUGUGCCCAGGGAUAUGGCAAAUGUCUGAACUCCAGUAUCUACCCAAAAUGUGAAUUGAGAUUUUUCCAAAGAGCAAAUGUAUUUUCUAAUAUUUUUUUCUAUAAGUUGAAUGUAUUUAGUAAAUAAAAAUUAUUUGUGUAACUAAAAAUGAGUUGUCUCAUUAAAAUGAGGUGAAAUACUCUGUGGCAUUUUUAAACUAUUUUUUUGCGUAAAUAUGUAAUUAAAUUAUUCAAUUUCUUCAACUUAUGAGAAUAGCCAUAUUCUAUUGCUUUGAUCUUUAUCACUAAUUUGGAGGUGACUAUCUUGCCAUAAUCUAUAUUAACUGUUAAUGGUUAGCUCAGUGAGUAUCUUUAUUUUUUGAUUUAGUAACUUUUUGUGUGUACAGUACUGUAAUCAAAUCUAGGGCAUUAUGCAUCCAGGUAAGUUCUCUACCACUGAGGUAUAUCCUUGGUCCCUAAUACAUAGUUUUAAAUUCACAGAAAAGUACGGAAGGUACAGAGAUAUUUUCUUCUGUACUUCCUUUACUUUCAUAGUCCUCCUCCAUUAUCAAUGUCCACUACUAGGGGCAUACUCUUGCUACCAAUGAUGAGCCUAUAUUUAUACAUUAUUAUCACUCACACAUUUAAUUUAUAUUAGGAUUCUUUCUUGGUGCUAUACAACCUGUGGCUUUUAGAAAAAUGGAUAAUAGCAUCUAUUCAUAGUUGUAGCUUCAGAAACAAAAUGUUUUAUUGUCCUUAUCUUCCUAAUCACCUCAACACACACGUAACCCCUUCCAACCACUUAUCUCUAUUAUAUCUGGAAUAUUUUUUUUCCAGAGUAACCUUAUAUUUGGAAAAGUAUAGUAUAUUUAAAAUAUGAAAGUUCCAAUGAAAUUAAAUCUAAUCAUUUAGAAAAUACUUUUUAUUUUUUCUUUCUUUUGUGGUGCUAGUGAUUGAAUACAUUACAUCAUGUAAUAUAGGCACAUUGUGUAUGAAUGGGCUACAUUUAUAGCCCUUGUUUUCCAAUUUUUGUUCACUGGUAUAGACAUGAGGGCAUAUGGAUUACAUGCAGAAAAAGCAGGAAGUCUAUAAAGAUUUGCCACAUAAUGAAAAGGAUUGGAAAAAAAAAAUUGGAUCAUGCUGUACAAAACAGUGCUAACUGUAAUAUCCUACUCUACUGGGACCAGAUAAAAUCUUCUCAGUGGAAUCUGACAAUCUCAAGAAGUCAUAGUUUAUACAAUGGUCAUCAAAAUGUAUUUUACAGCCUUGCCAUAGGAAAACUUUCUAGAAAGAAAGUAGUAAAUAUGAAUUAAAAUUAUCUCCUCUUCAGUUGUCAGAAUGAAUCUUUGAUGGUUUGGAUGUGAGGUGUCCCCAAAAAGCUCAAGUGUGAUAUAAUGCAAGAAUGUUUAGAGGGGAAAUGAUUGGGCUCUGAGAGUCUUAACCCAGUCAGUGAAUUAAUCCCCUGAUGGGAUUAACUGGGUGGUAACUGAAGGCAGGUAAAGUGCGGCUAAGGAUGUGCAUCAUUGGAGGUUUGCCUUUGAUAUUUUGUAUCUGGUGAGUAGAGUCUCUCUCUGCUUUCUGUUCAAAAGUGAGCUGCUUCCCUAUGCCUUACUCUUCCACCAUGAUAUUCAGCCUCAUCCUCGAGUCCCAUGGAAUGGAGUUGGCAGUCUAAAAACUGAGACCUCUGAAACCUUCAAAUAAACUCUUUCCCCACUAUAAUUGUUCUGGUCAGGUCCUGUAGUCACAGCAAUAAAAAAAUCUGACUAAUACAGAAUCUCAAUGAAAUUUGCUAUGUACAUUUAUGACUGCCCCAUAAUGAAUCUCAUCAACAUGUAUGUCCCCAAGGUAGUAAUUUUUUUUUUUUAAAAAAAGGAUAUAAAUAAACAGUUCACUACAGUAGAUGAAAGGAAACAAAGCAAGGGGGGGGGGGUGAAAAAAAGGGUAUCUACUGGGGGACUGAAUUUAAAAGAAAAAAAUGAAGCUUUAGAAUUUGAUCAAAAUGAAUCCUUAUGUUUAAAUUAAAAGAUCCAAUAAAAAACAAAGAUAAAAGAAUUACAUUGCCACAUGCUUGAGGUAGUAUAUUGAGUAAAAUAAUUCCAUAAAGUGCUUUAAAUUUAGCAAAUCCAACACUGUCUGAAAUAUGUCCCCUUCUUUGUAUAAGCCCCUUCGGCUUUAUUCAUACUAUAUGCUUUACAUUUUUGCCAUUACACAUUAAUGACAUUCUUCAAAUAAUCUAAAAACUCAUUCUAAUAUUUUCAGAGAACAGUAUAAAAUCAGACUAUUUAAUUUUAACAGAACUGACAUUCUUUUUUUUUCUUUUUUCUUUUUAUUUCUUUUUUUUUAAUGGUUGUUCAAAACAUUACAAAGCUCUUGACAUAUCAUAUUUCAUACAUUAGAUUCAAGUGGGUUAUGAACUCCCAUUUUUACCCCAAAUACAGAUUGCAGAAUCACAUCGGGUACACAUUCACAAUUUUACAUAAUGCCCUAUUAGUAACUGUUGUAUUCUGCUACCUUUCCUAUCCUCUACUAUCCCCCCUCCCUUCCCCUCCCAUCUUCUCUCUCUACCCCAUCUACUGUAAUUCAUUUCUCUCCUUGUUUAUUUUCCCAUUCCCCUCACAACCUCUUAUAUGUAAUUUUGUAUAGCAUUGAGGGUCUCCCUCCAUUUCUAUGCAGUUUCCCUUUUCUCUCCCUUUCCCUCCCACCUCAACAAAUGGGACUUACUUAAACUAAAAAGUUUUUUCUCAGCAAGAGAAACAAUAAGAGAGGUAAAUAGGGAGCCUACAUCAUGGGAACAAAUUUUCACUCCUCACACUUCAGAUAGAGCCCUAAUAUCCAGAGUAUACAAAGAAUUCAAAAAAUUAGACAAUAAGAUAACAAAUAACCCAAUCAACAAAUGGGCCAAGGACCUGAACAGACACUUCUCAGAGGAGGACAUACAAUCAAUCAUCAAGUACAUGAAAAAAAUGCUCACCAUCUCUAGCAGUCAGAGAAAUGCAAAUCAAAACCACCCUAGGAUACCAUCUCACUCCAGUAAGAUUGGCAGCCAUUAUGAAGUCAAACAACAAGUGCUGGCGAGGAUGUGGGGAAAAGGGUACUCUUAUACAUUGCUGGUGGGACUGCAAAUUGGUGCGGCCAAUUUGGAAAGCAGUAUGGAGAUUCCUGGGAAAGCUGGGAAUGGAACCACCAUUUGACCCAGCUAUUGCGCUUCUCGGACUAUUCCCUAAAGACCUUAAAAGAGCAUACUACAGGGAUACUGCCACAUCGAUCGAUGUUCAUAGCAGCACAAUUCACAAUAGCUAGACUGUGGAACCAACCCAGAUGCCCUUCAAUAGAUGAAUGGAUAAAAAAAAAAAGUGGCAUUUAUACACAAUGGAGUACUACAUAGCACUAAAAAAUGACAAAAUCAUGGAAUUUGCAGGGAAAUGGAUGGCACUAGAGCAGAUUGUGCUAAGUGAAGCUAGCCAAUCCCUAAAAAACAAAUGCCAAAUGUCUUCUUUGAUGUAAGGAGAGUAACUAAGAACAGAGUAGGGAUGAAGAGCAUGCGAAAAAGAUUAACAUUAAACAGGGAUGAGAGGUGGGAGGGAAAGGGAGAGGGAAGGGAAAUUGCAUGGAAAUGGAAGGAGACCCUCAGGGUUAUACAAAAUUACAUGUAAGAGGAAGUGAUAGGAAAGAGAAAAAAAUACAAGGGGGAGAAGUGAAUUACAGUAGAGGGGGUAGAGAGAGAAGAGGGGAGGGGGGAUAGUAGAGGAUAGGAAAGGCAGCAGAAUACAACAGACCCUAGUAUGGCAAUAUGUAAAUCAAUGGAUGUGUAACUGAAGUGAUUCUGCAAUUUGUAUACGGGGUAAAAAUGGGAGUUCAUAACCCACUUGAAUCAAAGUGUGAAAUAUGAUAUAUCAAGAACUAUGUAAUGUUUUGAACAACCAACAGUAAAAAAUUUUUAAAAAAUAAUAAAAAAAAGAAAGGCGGGAAAUGUGACGAUUCCCUCUGGUCCAGGAUGGGAGUGUGUCGUUGGGGACCAGCAACCAUUAGUCUUCAUCAAUGAAUAUUUAGGUUUUUUCCAUUUUUUGCUACUGUUAACACCAUGAUAAGUUUUCUUGUAUGUGCAAUUUUGUGUACUGUUCAUUAUAGUACAAAUACAAUCAUUGGUAAGUUAAGAAUAUAAACAUUCCCAGGCUUUGUAAUACGUAUUAUCAAAUCUGUCAGAUCGUUCUAAUUAACACUCCCACUAAUGGCCUUAAUCCCUUUACACAUCUUUUGUAGUGGUUAACACAAGGCCAGUGUGUUAGUCAGCUUUCCAUUGAUAUUACAAAAUACCAAGGUAAUAAGCUUGUAAGGAGGAAAUGUUUAUUUAGGCUCAUGGUUUCAGAGGUUCAGCCCAUGGUUACUUAAGCCUGUCAUUUUGGGCUUGUGGUAGAACAUUACUUCAUGACCAGAAGUGCAUAGCAGAGGAAGCUGCUCACAUCAUGUCUGCUGGAACAUAGAGAGACAAGAAGGGGCCAAGGUCCCAAAUCCCCUACAAGAGCUCACCCUAUUGGCUUAACUUCCUUUCACUAGGCCACAGCUCUUAAAUUUUCCACCAUCUCCCAAUUGCAUCUUGGGCUGGGAACCAAGCCUUUAACACCUGGGCCUUUGAGGGUCGCUCAAGAUCCCAAGAUAUAGCAGCUACAUUCAUAAUUCUUUCUGUUGGGUGGGUUUUUAUCACUAGAUGAAUAUUCAUUAAGUGAAAGACCUGGCAUCUUGAGAACCUUAAAUAGUAUCAACAGGAUUUCAUGAUAGCCUGUCCUCCUCUAUUUCCUCCAUCUACAUGAAUGUGAGGGCUGGUCCUGGGUGAGCUGGAGUAGCUUGUUCUUACAGGUAUGUGACGUUCAAGGAUGUGGCUAUGCUCUUUACUCGGGAUGAGUGGAAAAAGCUGGAUCCUUCCCAGAGAAGCUUGUAUCGGGAGGUGAUGCUGGAGAACUAUAGUAACCUGGCCUCACUGGGAGGACUCCCAUUUAUCAAACCAAAGGUGAUCUCCCUGUUACAGGAGGGAGAAGGUCCCUGGAAGGUAGAGAAAGAAAAUUCUGGAAGCACCUCUCUUGCAUGGAAGAACUAUCAUAAGACCACGAAGUCAACUCAAACACAGGACUCUUCAUUUCAGAGAUUGAUAAUGAACAGAUCCAGAAGGAAUGGACUUGGACCCUUGGAUUUGAAAUCAGAAAAAUCUUAAUAUAUGAAGGCAAAUUAGAGAAAAAACAGGAUUAAAAAGGAAAUUUUUCAGAUAGUUUCAGUCACCCACAAAAAAACCCUAACUGUAGAAAGAAGCCAUAAAAAUGUUGAAUUUAGCCAGAACUUCAACCCAAAGUCAGUAGUUGUUAGGCAACAGAUAGUUCCCAGAGAGAAACCACCACCAAAAUAUGAAAAAAAAGGGGAACACUUUGAAACAUAAUUCAAAUUUACCUAAUCAGCCAAAAAUGACAGCAGGUAAAUGCUAUCAAUGUAGUAUGUGUGAGUAAACCUUUAUUAAUACUUCUUCCCUUCAUAAACAUGAGAAAAAAUCAUAGUGGAGAGAAAUUAUUUAAAUGUAAAGACUGUUCCAAAGCCUUUAGCCAAAGUUCAGCUCUUAUUCAACCUCAAAUAACUCAUACUGGAGAGAAACCUUAUAUAUGUAAAUAAUGUGGGAAAGCCUUCACUCUCAGUACAUCCCUGUAUAAGCAUCUAAGAACCCACACUGUCGAGAAAUCUUAUAGAUGUAAGGAAUGUGGUAAGUCCUUCAGCUGAGGGUCAGGGCUUUUUAUACAUCAGAAAAUCCAUGCUGGAGAAAACCCUUAUAAAUAUAAUCCAGGUAGGAAAGCAUCUGGUUGCAACACAUCCCUUCCUGGUCAAAGAGUUCAUCCCAGAAAGAAGUCCUAUUUGUGUAAGGAAAUGUAGCAACACCUUUAAAUCUAGUUCAUCCCUUCAUUAUCAUCAGAUAAUUCACACUGGAGAGAAACCUUUCAAAUGUGGUGAAUGUGGGAGAGCCUUCAGUCAGAGUGCAUCACUUAUUCAACACGAAUGAAUUCACACUGGCGAAAAGCCCAAUCGAUGUAAUGAAUGUGGAAAAGGCUUCACUUCUAUUUCACGACUCAAUAGACAUUGAAUAAUUCAUAUUGGUGAGAAGUUUUAUAAUUGUAAUGAAUGUGGCAAGGCCUUAAGUUCCCAUUCAACUCUUAUCAUUCAUGAGAGGAUUCACACCGGAGAGAAACCAUGUAAAUGUAAAGUGUGUGGGAAAGUCUUCAGGCAGAGUUCAGCUCUCAUUCAGCAUCAGAGAAUGCACACUGGAGAAAGACCCUACAAAUGCAAUGAGUGUGAGAAGACAUUCAGGUGUAACUCAUCCCUUAGUAAUCAUCAGAAAAUCCAUACUAGAGAGAAACCUUAUCAAUGUGGGGAAUGUGGGAUGUCAUUUGGCCAAAGUUCAGCCCUUAUUCAACAUCGAAGGAUUCAUACAGGAGAGACCCUUUAAAUGUAAUACUUGUGGGAAAACAUUUAGACAAAGCUCCUCACGUAUUGCACACCAGAGAAUUCAUACAGGGGAGAAACCCUAUGAGUGUGACACAUGUGGGAAAUGUUUCAACCAUAGGUCAUCCCUUACUAAUCACUAUAAAAUCCAUAUGGAAGAAGAACCCUAGAAAGUAGAUUUGCUUGUGUAAAAGCCUUAAACCAAAGCUCAUCAGAGAAUACAUACUUCAAGGGUGAUGUAAUAAAUGUAAUGGAUAUUGAAAAAGCCCAAAAUCAUUUAGUGCCCAUUAGCUAUCAAAUCCCAUGAACAAAUCUUGAUUAUGUAAUAGCUAAAAGGAAAGCAUUCAUACCUGCUGCUUUUUAAAAUAACUUGAGGAUUCAUAAGUGGAGACACUAACUUUGGGCAUUUGUAAAAUAAAAGGUGUUUGAUUUUCCUCUUUCCUACAGCAGUGUAGUCUAGCUAUCACAUGUGAUCAUCAUAAACAUCAAGUGGAUAGGGAUUUCUCUGGUUUUCUCAUAAAAACACCAAACUCUACACUGGUGAUAUUUUUUAUAACAUUUUAGUAGCAUAUGAGUGAAUGAAUCAAAGAAAUUAUACAUUUUUAAUGAAAAGGACCAAAAUAAAAGAUUAAAAUAAACUGUAAACUACCUCUCA
Marmota monax (woodchuck) is the source of this 9255-nucleotide long non-coding RNA. RefSeq lists it as uncharacterized. The transcript is spliced from 7 exons. Lineage: Eukaryota; Metazoa; Chordata; Mammalia; Rodentia; Sciuridae. The record is from RefSeq and is a predicted model, not a curated record.